GUCGCCUAGCGGCAGGUCAGGUCCAGGUCAGGUCGCCUAGCGGCAGGUCAGGUCCAGGUCAGGUCGCCUAGCGGCAGGUCAGGUCCAGGUCGCCUAGCUGCAGGUCAGGUCCAGGUCGCCUGGUCAGGUCCGGUCGCCUGGCGGCUGGUCAGGUCAGGUCCGGUCGCCUGGCGGCAGGUCAGGUCAGGUCAGGUCGCCUAGCGGCAGGUCAGGUCCAGGUCAGGUCGCCUAGCGGCAGGUCAGGUCCAGGUCAGGUCGCCUAGCUGCAGGUCAGGUCCAGGUCAGGUCGCCUGGCGGCAGGUCAGGUCCAGGUCGCCUGGCGGCAGGUCAGGUCCAGGUCGCCUAGCUGCAGGUCAGGUCCAGGUCGCCUGGUCAGGUCCGGUCGCCUGGCGGCUGGUCAGGUCAGGUCCGGUCGCCUGGCGGCAGGUCAGGUCAGGUCCGGUCGCCUGGUGGCAGGUCAGGCCAGGUCCGGUCGCCUGGCGGCAGGUCAGGUCCAGGUCGCCUGGCGGCAGGUCAGGUCGCCUGGCGGCGGUUAAGAGAUUUGGGCUAGUAACUGAAAGGUCGCUGGUUCGAAUCCCUCAAACCAGGUGAAAAAUCUGCCCGAUGUGCCCUUGAGCAAGGCACUUAACAUGAAUUGCUCCUGUAAGUCGUUUUGGAUAAGAGCGUCUGCUAAAUGACAUGAAUGUAAGUGGAAUGUUGAACAUCCUCUUCUCUAAUAGCUGUUUUAUUAGAGCAUGUUCAGUUCUGUCAGUGUAAAGGCAUGUCAUCACCUGUCAGCAGUGCUGUGAAUAAGCCCCACUUGUUACAACAGGCUACGCUGGGUGCAGACAGAGAUGACCCAGAACUGACAGGAAUUAAUUAGCCAUUUCACAUUAUGGAUCAUGACCACACUGACUGUAUCAAUAUUCUGACUGUAUAGUGCAAAUGCCACAUAGCAAUUAUUAAAUUGAAUAAUUAGGGAUUUAUAAAAACUAAAAAGAAUGUUAAUUACAUUAUACACAGGUCCAAC
This 1009-nucleotide long non-coding RNA is filed under the name Salmo salar (Atlantic salmon). RNAcentral's name for it is "lncRNA (ENSSSAG00000104378.1)". The record is from RNAcentral. Lineage: Eukaryota; Metazoa; Chordata; Actinopteri; Salmoniformes; Salmonidae.